This is a non-coding RNA of Equus caballus (horse), 1057 nucleotides long. Lineage: Eukaryota; Metazoa; Chordata; Mammalia; Perissodactyla; Equidae. The record is from RefSeq and is a predicted model, not a curated record.
UUCCCAGCCAGUUUGGGUGUGUUGGUCUGGACUGAAGAGGGAUCUAGGUGGACACCACAGUCUCCAAUACAUUGGUAUUCUUCAUUCAGAAUCCCAGGUUGCCAUACAUACUAGGAGCUUAAGGAACUCAUAGAGGUGGUCCUUGUUCCACAGCUCACAUUCUGGCCCAGGAAACACCAGUAUGUCCUGGUCCUGGCAGUCCUAAAUCAACUCCUGAUCCAGGUUCUGCAGAGCCCACCUGAAGGGCUUGGAGGAGAGGGCUGCCUGGGGAUCUAAGAUCUGGGGAGCAGAGCCAGACCUGCUCAUGGCUUUGUUUACAGUCCUCCUGAGGUUGGAGGAGAGUGUGAUGCAGACAGUGAACGGUUUGUGUCUCACCUCCCCAUAAGCUUCUGUCACUGUGAGCAUUACCAUCAUCCCACAUCUGACAGUAAUAGUCAGCCUUGUCUUUGGCCCAGGCCCUUCUAAUGGUCAGGUUGGCUGUGUUCCCAAGGUUGGAGCCUGAGAUCUGGCCAGGGAUCCCUUAGGGCUUGAUUCUAUCACAAUAGAUGACUUACAGGAGCCUGUCCUGGAUUCUUCUGGUACCAAUAAAGAUAUCACAUCAACGAGAAUGAAAGUAAGGCCAGAAUCAUGGGGAUGGUGGAACAGAAAGAGAGCAAGUUCCCAGAUCUCAUGGCAUUGUAAACAUCAUCUUUGUCCAAUUAGGGGAAUAUGGAACACAAAUCCACCAGUUAACAAAAACGAUGAGAGGGAAAGAACCCCACAGUGGUAAGUGCUGUGCAUAUAAUCAAUACAGAUCUAGGCAGAAAAUGGGAGCCAGAUCAUUUUAUAAAUCAAAGGCUGGGGGAGCCCCUGAAGAAGUAACUGUGGAACUGCUCCCAGAAAGGAAUGAGGAAACAAGCAACAGGAAGUGAGUGUGGGAAGAGCUGAAUCAGUGCUAGUGGGGAAGAGUCAGAUGUGGCCCAGGAUCUGAAAGAACCAUGUCCCACCUAAGGGCAUCUGAGAUUCAAAAUGCUUCAAGUCAAGUGUAAUACUUUCUUGUAAACGAAGAGUUUAAGGA